This 698-nucleotide ribosomal RNA is filed under the name uncultured fungus. RNAcentral describes it as "eukaryotic LSU rRNA". It matches the Rfam family "Eukaryotic large subunit ribosomal RNA", at positions 1 to 649 of the family's 3401-position model. Lineage: Eukaryota; Fungi. The record is from RNAcentral.
GAGCUUUUUAUGGCACGCAUGGAAGCGGUCUGGUCGGCCCAGUNUGAANCCAUUAUUUUUCACNGUUGACCUCGGAUCAGGUAGGAGUACCCGCUGAACUUAAGCAUAUCAAUAAGCGGAGGAAAAGAAACCAACAGGGAUUACCCUAGUAACGGCGAGUGAAGCGGUCACAGCUCAAAUUUGAAAUCUGGCCUUGACCGGUCCGAGUUGUAAUUUGUAGAGGAUGUUUCGGGCAAGGCUCUGGUUUAAAUUUCUUGGAACAGAAUGUCAUAGAGGGUGAGAGUCCCGUCUAGAACCGGGGGCCGCGUCCAUGUGAAACUCCUUCGACGAGUCGAGUUGUUUGGGAAUGCAGCUCAAAAUGGGUGGUAAAUUUCAUCUAAAGCUAAAUAUUGGCCAGAGACCGAUAGCGCACAAGUAGAGUGAUCGAAAGAUGAAAAGUACUUUGAAAAGAGAGUUAAACAGUAUGUGAAAUUGUUGAAAGGGAAGCGCUUGCAACCAGACUUGCGUGUGACGGUUCCCCCGGUCUUCUGACCGGGCUACUCCGUCAUGUCCAGGCCAGCAUCGGUUCGGGUGGUUGGUUAAAGGCUCCGGGAAUGUAUCUACCUCCGGGUCGACUUAUAGCCCGGGGUGUAAUGCGGCCUACCCGGACCGAGGAACGCGCUUUUGCUCGGAUGCUGGCGUAAUGGUUGUAAGCGGCC